CAGACAAGAAAACGACCAGGGAAGGCACACAGCCCUGUGGGGAGGCGUUGGGGCGUGAGGUUGAGAGAGACAGAGUGGCCUGGCCUGGCCUGCCCUGUGAGCUGGGUGAGUUGGUACUGAUUCUGGAAGAUGGACGUGAAUGGGCGUGGUCACUUGUCGCUAGACUCUGGGAAACGCUGCUGCUGUUUGACAUCGCACAGUCAGAAGGGAUCGUCUCAGCCAGCCUGCAGCAUCUGUCACUUUGACCAUGAGACGCUGCCUCGAUUUCCAAUCCAGGUGCAAAGCUUCAGAUAGGAGUUUGGGAAGCACAGCAAUCCCCAUCUCUAUUUUUUUCAACUUUCAUUCCAAGAAAUAGGACCUUGAGUCCAAUUCCCAGAGCUGACACUUGAGGUCCAACUCUGCCCUCACCUGCACCCGGCCCUGGAGGUCUGGGCCCCUUUAUUCCAGCUCCCGCACAGGCUGAUGCCCCACCGCACCCCAGGGCUCCGCUCCCCAAAUCACAACCUCCCCACCCCCACGCCUCCCUCAUUACAGGGUCCCCCACCAUGUUUCCCUUUUUUUUUUUUUUUUAACCUCCCCACCAAUUACUUGCCCCACCUCAUCCGCGUCUACCUGCUCCCCCUCACCCCAUUAAAGCCUCGUGCUCCUUUCCAAAGGGCGCCAUCCUCCUCCGCGCCCUGCAGCGGAACCCCAGGGCGGGAAGAGCGGCGCCGAGUCGGACCGGCUGCAGGCCAGUGGUCUUCCCGGAAGUGCGCCUCCCCCGGUUAUUUCACAGACCCCGGCGCGGGGCUGCGAACCCACCUGCCCCAGAGCGGCUGCGGCCAUGAUCCGUGCGGCGCGUAACUGUGCCCGCCCGGGGCGCGGCCCCGAAGAGAGACGUUCCGGCCACGCCCCGCUCACGCCUCCUUCUGGGGGAAGGCGGCCGACCAGCGCCCCAGGCCGUCCCAGCUCCAGGGCGUCGGCAGGGAGCCAGACACUGCUGCGGGGCGCAGGCGCUGGUGGGAGGGCAGGACUUGAAAUACGGUCCCUGCCAGGCGAAGUGGCUCAGGUCUGUAAUCUUAGCACUUUGGGAGGCCGAAGCGGGCGGAUUACCUGAGGUCAGGAGUUAGAGACCAGCCUGGUCCAACAUGAUGAAACCCCGUCUCUACUAAAAAUACAAAAAAUUAGCCGGGCGUGGUGGCGGGCGCCUGUAAUCUUAGCUACUCGGAAAGCUGAGGCAGGAGAAUUGCUUGAAUCGGGGAGGCAGAGGUUGCAGUGAGCCGAGAUGAUGCCACUGCACUCCAGCCUGGGCGACAGAGUGAGACUCCGUCUCAAAAAAAAAAAAAAAAAAAAAAAAAAAGGCCUGGCUUGGUGGCUCACACCUGUAAUCCCAGCAUUUUGGGAGGCCGAGGCGGGCGGAUCACCUGAGGUCAAGAGUUCGAGACCAGCCUGACCAACAUGGUGAAACCCCGCCCUACUAAAAAUACAAAAAUUAGCUGGGAGUGGUGGUAGACGCCUGUAGUCCCAGCUACUCGGGAGGCUGAGGUAGAAGAAUUGCUUGAACCCGGGAGGCCGAGGUUGCGGUGAGCCGAGAUGGCGCCAUUGCACUCCAGCCUGAGCAACAAGAGCAGAACUCCGUCUCAAAGAAAAAAAAAAGAAAAGAAAAAAAAGAAAAAAGAAAUACGGUCCCCACCCAGGCUGUGUUCCAGCCACACUCAAGCCAGGUACUAAUGUGCAUGCAACGGUUUUCAAAAAAGCAUUUCCUUGGGAGCAAAAAUGCAUUUUUUGUCGCGGAUCGCUGGCAAGCAUAAGCAGCACGAGGUAAAGAAAGGGAAAGGCAAGGAGCAGGACAUUCCGUGUAUCACGUUCCCUUAGCGACGCGGACACCACGUCAAUGCACAGGAACGGGAAUGGUGCUUUGGAGAAGGGCUUCUGAAGAGGGCCGCAGGUAGGGAUAAAGGGCAGCCUCACUUUGCAGCCUGGAUACUGCCCUGUUCCAGUAUUUUUUCCUAUCAACGAAAAAGAUGUAUGUGUAGCCCAGGCUGGAGGGCAGUGGCGCGAUCUCGGCUCACUGCAACCUCCGCCUCCCGGGUUCAAGCAGUUCUCCUGCCUCAGCCUCCUGAGUAGCUGG
RNAcentral lists this long non-coding RNA (2110 nucleotides) under Pan troglodytes (chimpanzee). RNAcentral's name for it is "long non-coding RNA NONPTRT008179". Lineage: Eukaryota; Metazoa; Chordata; Mammalia; Primates; Hominidae. The record is from RNAcentral.